ACGGAAGGCAGCAGUGGGGAAUAUUGCACAAUGGGCGAAAGCCUGAUGCAGCGACGCCGCGUGAGCGAAGAAGUAUUUCGGUAUGUAAAGCUCUAUCAGCAGGGAAGAAGAAAUGACGGUACCUGACUAAGAAGCCCCGGCUAACUACGUGCCAGCAGCCGCGGUAAUACGUAGGGGGCAAGCGUUAUCCGGAUUUACUGGGUGUAAAGGGAGCGCAGGCGGCAGGGCAAGUCUGAUGUGAAAGCCCGGGGCUCAACCCCGGGACUGCAUUGGAAACUGCUCAGCUAGAGUGUCGGAGGGGUAAGUGGAAUUCCUAGUGUAGCGGUGAAAUGCGUAGAUAUUAGGAGGAACACCAGUGGCGAAGGCGGCUUACUGGACGACAACUGACGCUGAGGCUCGAAAGCGUGGGGAGCAAACAGGAUUAGAUACCCUGGUA
Molecule: ribosomal RNA, 436 nt
Filed under: uncultured Roseburia sp.
Lineage: Bacteria; Bacillati; Bacillota; Clostridia; Lachnospirales; Lachnospiraceae
Description: bacterial SSU rRNA
Rfam family: Bacterial small subunit ribosomal RNA
Source: RNAcentral